AAAGCAGGCUAGAAGCCAGAUCCCAGAAGAUCUCUGGGUGGAGAGAGCUUUUCCUUUUCUCCUUAGCAGAGGUUUGAGAAGAACUGAAACUGCAAGUGAUGUGGUGUAUGAAUCACUAAGGCCCUGAUCUGAUCAGACAAUCUGAAUCAUGUGGGCAAACAUCACUGGGGCUCUGUGAAAACACAAGUUUUACUUGCACAGAUCUACUUGCAAAAUUGGAGUCUUUGGUUUCUCUUUUUCUGAAGACAUAGCACCUUUUCAUCAACCACAAAGGAAACUAGAGCAAGAAAUCCAUACCUAUAUCACAGAAGGUUAUGAGGAUCAACCAGUUAACAUUUGUAAAGCAUUUUGAAGAUGAAAACUGAUGUUCAAGACCUAAAUACUGUCAUUUUGACCUUACUCUAAAACAACUGGUAUACCCCACUGCUGGAAAGAUGGUGGAUUGGGUGAAAUAAAGUGGUCUGAUCCAGUAUGUUCCAGCUUUUCUACAUGUGCAUUUUGGCUUGACUCACACAUUUUAGCAUAAAUGAAAACAGAACUCUGGAUGUUGGAUAAACCACAUUGAACAUUAGCACAAUGAUCUCAUCAGGUGUGUCUGAUCUAUUGUCAAAGUAUUAUGGGAGCCCCAUUAAACAUAAAAGAAGCUAUCAUAUAUAUUUUUUGCUAUAUGUGGUGAGCCUCCCAAAAAUGGAAAUUGGACAUUAG
This is a long non-coding RNA of Mauremys reevesii (Reeves's turtle), 705 nucleotides long. RefSeq lists it as uncharacterized. NCBI's taxonomy places the organism in Eukaryota, Metazoa, Chordata, Testudines, Geoemydidae. The record is from RefSeq and is a predicted model, not a curated record. The transcript has 4 exons.